CCUGUGCCUAGAGACAUUGCAGGUGUGGCUGCUGUGUCAAAUGUUCAUCAGUAGGUGGCAGAGAGGGUUAUGUCUAUGCUCAGUGUCCUGACCUGUGAAUAUCUGACAUUCUCAGAAAAA
RNAcentral lists this small nucleolar RNA (120 nucleotides) under Mus spicilegus (steppe mouse). RNAcentral's name for it is "Small nucleolar RNA SNORA17 (ENSMSIG00000030515.1)". It matches the Rfam family "Small nucleolar RNA SNORA17". From Rfam's summary of the family: snoRNA ACA 17 belongs to the H/ACA family of snoRNAs and is predicted to guide pseudouridylation of the 28S rRNA at positions U4659 and U4598. It shares the same host gene together with ACA43. Lineage: Eukaryota; Metazoa; Chordata; Mammalia; Rodentia; Muridae. The record is from Rfam by way of RNAcentral.